This 480-nucleotide ribosomal RNA is filed under the name uncultured bacterium. RNAcentral describes it as "partial 16S ribosomal RNA". It matches the Rfam family "Bacterial small subunit ribosomal RNA", at positions 28 to 523 of the family's 1533-position model. The record is from RNAcentral.
GACGAACGCUGGCGGCGUGCCUAACACAUGCAAGUCGAGCGUGUGAAUCUCCUUCGGGAGUGAAGCUAGCGGCGGACGGGUGAGUAACACGUGGGCAACCUGCCUCUUAGAGGGGAAUAGCCUUUCGAAAGGAAGAUUAAUACCGCAUAAGAUUGUAGCUUCGCAUGAAGUAGCAAUUAAAGGAGCAAUCCGCUAUGAGAUGGGCCCGCGGCGCAUUAGCUAGUUGGUGAGGUAACGGCUCACCAAGGCGACGAUGUGUAGCCGACCUGAGAGGGUGAUCGGCCACAUUGGGACUGAGACACGGCCCAGACUCCUACGGGAGGCAGCAGUGGGGAAUAUUGCACAAUGAGGGAAACCCUGAUGCAGCAACGCCGCGUGAGUUAUGACGGCCUUCGGGUUGUAAAGCUCUGUCUUCAGGGACGAUAAUGACGGUACCUGAGGAGGAAGCCACGGCUAACUACGUGCCAGCCGCCGCCGUAA